This 492-nucleotide ribosomal RNA is filed under the name uncultured bacterium. RNAcentral describes it as "partial 16S ribosomal RNA". It matches the Rfam family "Bacterial small subunit ribosomal RNA", at positions 29 to 507 of the family's 1533-position model. The record is from RNAcentral.
AGUGAACGCUGGCGGUAGGCCUAACACAUGCAAGUCGAACGGCAGCACAGUAAGAGCUUGCUCUUACGGGUGGCGAGUGGCGGACGGGUGAGGAAUACAUCGGAAUCUACUUUUUCGUGGGGGAUAACGUAGGGAAACUUACGCUAAUACCGCAUACCACCUACGGUUGAAAGCAGGGGAUCUUCGGACCUUGCGCGAUUGAAUGAGCCGAUGACGGAUUAGUUGGUUGGCGGGGUAAAGGCCCACCAAGGCGACGAUCCGUAGCUGGUCUGAGAGGAUGAUAGGCCACACUGGAACUGAGACACGGUCCAGACUCCUACGGGAGGCAGCAGUGGGGAAUAUUGGACAAUGGGCGCAAGCCUGAUCCAGCCAGACCGCGUGGGUGAAGAAGGCCUUCGGGUUGUAAAGACCUUUUGUUGGGAAAGAAAAGCAGCAGGUUAAUACCCCGCUGUUCUGACGGUACCCAAAGAAUAAGCACCGGCUAACUUCGUG